This 1429-nucleotide ribosomal RNA is filed under the name Triticum aestivum (bread wheat). Its description in RNAcentral is "partial small subunit ribosomal RNA". The record is from RNAcentral. Lineage: Eukaryota; Viridiplantae; Streptophyta; Magnoliopsida; Poales; Poaceae.
GGGAAGGGAUCGUGGGAGGAUGCGGAGGGGAGUGGAUAAGGUGGGCCGCCGAGGAAACUUUUUUCUCUUACGGGAAGUUCGGGUGGGCUGAAUCUAGGAACAUCUCCGUGCCCUAUAGAGUCGAUCGCGAUCCGAAUAACUAUUCUGAUCGUGAUUAGAAUAGUGCUAAUAUAUAUAUAGAAAGUCUAUUAGUGACCCUGGGUGAAGAAUAAGUAAUUCCUCACCCGGGUCGAUCGACCGAGCGAUGGUAGUUUGACUAAACGCCAGCCAAUGUAAUUUUACUUCGAGGGAAACUUUAGCUGGUCGCCCACUCCCCCAAAUGUCAGAAGGAAAAAAAAACUAGCCCACUCCUCCAGUCCGUUCCUAUCUCCCUCCGGCCCCUCACAUCUCGUCAUUGCGGCGGCGGCGGCGGCGACGGCGCCGGACGGACGACCCGGCGGCGAGGACUACCUCUCUUGUGCGUGGAGUACUUCCCUUACCUCUCUCAUGUGGUAGCGACUCGGAGGCGCCGUGGGCGGUGCAAGAUCUGGGCGAGCUCGGCAGGACGACGGCGUUCUCCGGCGUCCCUCUUCACCGUCGACGGGUUAUUGGUUUUUGGGAGCGGUGCUGGGAAAGAGGAAGAAGACCAAGGAAAGGAAAGGAAAAUGAGAAGCUCGGGUGAUGGAGGUAAUGCUGGAGAAGGGCUCCUGGCGGUGGGAUCAAUUCUAGGAGGAGGUGGAGAUCAUAGCAGAGGAUAUGAAGGCCGUGUGGAUGACAUAGAAGAAGAGGAGGAGCUCAAGGCUGCGGAGAAAAAGGACAACAGUAGAGUAUCAGACUUCCAUCUAGCUGAGAUCAACUUUUGUUUUCACGGGACAUGUUUUCAAGCUUUGGGUGCCUGCGGCCGGCUCGACGGGUGGCAUCAGCAAGCGCCGGCCGGCCUCGGCACUGCUGUUGGUGGUUAUAUGGUGGGCGGAGCACACUAGUGGGCUUCAACGUCAGGAUGCACCAGCAACAGAACAUGAAGAAUGUUGUGGCGAGGUGAGCGAAAUCUGGCAGAUUGCGGACAGAGGCCACGGAAGGUGACCGGAACCCCAACGUGGCCCUGAAAUCAACCACCAAUGGGCAAGCAUAGAGGAGGUGACUCGCUGACUGCAGCGGGGAAUGGCGGAGUGGGCAACUAUUCCACGCUCUAAAAUUGAGGUUUAGAGCAAUUAAAAAGAAUCAUGUUCCUGCUUUUUUCUCCUUGCUGUGAGUGUAUUGGAGUAUAGGGUUCUCCCUGGAGGGUCGUGUAAUCAGUGUGCUAUCUGAGGCAAUGUAUAGAGUUCCAGUUCUGUUUUUCUUGAGAGCUGACCCUGUAAAUUCUAGCUCUGUUUUCUUUGAGCUGAUAUGUAAAUUCUUCAAUGUUUAAAUAAAGUUCAGCCUCAGGCCCUUAAAGAUAAUACUACUCCCC